GGAAAUACACAGAGAAACUGGCAGAAAAUGAAUCCAUGGAGAUUUUGACAAGACCCCUCUAAGCAAGAUCUAAAGACAACAUCAGAUGGAGUUGUCUGUGGAUUAUGUACGUAUUGUCAGAGACAUUCAUGCAAAAUAAUGGGUUUGGUGGUGACAGGGUUACAGCCACAACAAGAAAGUGAGAUACAGUUAGUGGAAUUCUCAAGUGCUCUCUUAGGAUGAAUAAACCUUAAGAAAGAACACCCUGCUUUUGUAACAGAUGAAGAAAGGCUAUGGAAGAGACAGAUUCUGGAGGAUGCAGCAUUCAAGGUUCUAUCUUGGAAGCAGAGACUGUGCCCUCACCAGAUGCUGAACCUGCUGAGCACCCUGAUCUUCCACUUCACCUUCAUCAGAACUACUGCUGUGAUUGCACCUGCCAUCUUAUGCAGAAAUGACCUGAAGACAGACUGAAACAACGUGUUCUACAGCCUGAAAAUAUCUACCUUGACUUACAGUUUUAUUAAUGCUGGUGUGAUCAGACUGGACAAAAAUUAGCAUAUGUUAUUAACUGAUCUAAUUCAAGUGCCAAUUCUUAAUAGAAACACAAAACAAUAAAAGCAAUUCAGAAAAUAUUUACUAUUUGAUUUCUUCAAGCUCCAAACAGGCUUGUGCUUAGCUGUAGAAACUUGAAUAUAUACAAAUCUACAUGGAUAGAAUUCUUAGUCUUCUUUGGGCCAGGUGUGUUAGCCCCUUGGGAAAGGAUAAAGUUUUGGAAUAUAUUUUUAUUCAUGAACCUGCUCUCUUUAAGACUUCUGAGGAAAAGAGCUGCUGGGCAGAUGAGUAGAAUAUGUUACUACUGUUCCGACAUGUCUACCCAUCAAAACUAGCUGAUACAGUACACUUUAAUGACCCUUCUAUAGUCAAAACUGACAUUGACAUUGACAUUAACAGAAAAGAUUUGGGACAAAGAACUGUGUUCAUGCAGCAAAUCAGCCUCAAACUUCACCACAAGCUGCACAUUUUAUGCUACUGUAUUCUGCUUAAGCACUUAUUUGUAUUUAUGUAAACUGAAUGAUCCUUUAAUACUUAAGGACUUUAUUCUGGGUGAGUUAGAAUCACACUGUUUUGGCAGGAAAACUCUUUGAUAGGAAAAACUGUAUGGCUUGAUAAUUUAAGAGCUAAAAGUAGCCAAAUCAGGAACUACUGAAAUUCUUCAGUAUCUGUUAGAAUAUCUCCUGUUUGAGCCAUGUUUGUAAAUGAUGUUCAAAGGCAUUUCAAAAGCAUGUAAAUUAAAAAAACAAUUCAUUU
Molecule: long non-coding RNA, 1287 nt
Filed under: Homo sapiens (human)
Lineage: Eukaryota; Metazoa; Chordata; Mammalia; Primates; Hominidae
Description: long intergenic non-protein coding RNA 882
Source: RNAcentral